Molecule: microRNA precursor, 114 nt
Filed under: Dichanthelium oligosanthes
Lineage: Eukaryota; Viridiplantae; Streptophyta; Magnoliopsida; Poales; Poaceae
Description: mir-166 microRNA precursor family
Rfam family: mir-166 microRNA precursor family
About the family: This family represents the plant microRNA (miRNA) precursor mir-166. Animal miRNAs are transcribed as ~70nt precursors and subsequently processed by the Dicer enzyme to give a ~22nt product.
Source: Rfam by way of RNAcentral
UCUGAGUGGAAUGUUGUCUGGUUCAAGGUCUUGCCCUGUGAUUUGAGGAUGAAUCUUAUGUGUUUUCAUUCCUCCAAUCUGCGGGAUCUCGGACCAGGCUUCAUUCCCCUCAGA